Molecule: transfer RNA, 66 nt
Filed under: Pista cristata
Lineage: Eukaryota; Metazoa; Annelida; Polychaeta; Terebellida; Terebellidae
Description: tRNA-Ala
Rfam family: tRNA
About the family: Transfer RNA (tRNA) molecules are approximately 80 nucleotides in length. Their secondary structure includes four short double-helical elements and three loops (D, anti-codon, and T loops). Further hydrogen bonds mediate the characteristic L-shaped molecular structure. tRNAs have two regions of fundamental functional importance: the anti-codon, which is responsible for specific mRNA codon recognition, and the 3' end, to which the tRNAs corresponding amino acid is attached (by aminoacyl-tRNA synthetases). tRNAs cope with the degeneracy of the genetic code in two manners: having more than one tRNA (with a specific anti-codon) for a particular amino acid; and 'wobble' base-pairing, i.e. permitting non-standard base-pairing at the 3rd anti-codon position.
Source: RNAcentral
GCCACUCUAGUUUAAAUAAAACAUUUGCUUUGCACAUAAAAAAUGGGAGUUAUCUCCCGAGUAGCA